Molecule: ribosomal RNA, 394 nt
Filed under: uncultured bacterium
Lineage: Bacteria
Description: bacterial SSU rRNA
Rfam family: Bacterial small subunit ribosomal RNA
Source: RNAcentral
GGGCCCGCACAAGCGGUGGAGCAUGUGGUUUAAUUCGAUGCAACGCGCAGAACCUUACCAACCCUUGACAUCCUGUGCUACAUUCAGAGAUGAAUGGUUCCCUUCGGGGACGCAGUGACAGGUGCUGCAUGGCUGUCGUCAGCUCGUGUCGUGAGAUGUUCGGUUAAGUCCGGCAACGAGCGCAACCCACAUCCCUAGUUGCCAGCAGUUCGGCUGGGCACUCUAUGGAAACUGCCCGUGAUAAGCGGGAGGAAGGUGUGGAUGACGUCAAGUCCUCAUGGCCCUUACGGGUUGGGCUACACACGUGCUACAAUGGUGGUGACAAUGGGUUAAUCCCAAAAAGCCAUCUCAGUUCGGAUUGGGGUCUGCAACUCGACCCCAUGAAGUCGGAAUC